RNAcentral lists this ribosomal RNA (252 nucleotides) under uncultured prokaryote. RNAcentral describes it as "partial 16S ribosomal RNA". It matches the Rfam family "Bacterial small subunit ribosomal RNA", at positions 523 to 774 of the family's 1533-position model. The record is from RNAcentral.
AUACGUAGGGUGCGAGCGUUAAUCGGAAUUACUGGGCGUAAAGCGUGCGCAGGCGGUGAUGUAAGACAGGUGUGAAAUCCCCGGGCUUAACCUGGGAACUGCAUUUGUGACUGCAUUGCUGGAGUGCGGCAGAGGGGGAUGGAAUUCCGCGUGUAGCAGUGAAAUGCGUAGAUAUGCGGAGGAACACCGAUGGCGAAGGCAAUCCCCUGGGCCUGCACUGACGCUCAUGCACGAAAGCGUGGGGAGCAAACA